Molecule: ribosomal RNA, 400 nt
Filed under: uncultured bacterium
Lineage: Bacteria
Description: bacterial SSU rRNA
Rfam family: Bacterial small subunit ribosomal RNA
Source: RNAcentral
UGGGGAAUAUUGGACAAUGGGCGAAAGCCUGAUCCAGCAAUACCGCGUGGGUGAUGAAGGUCUUCGGAUUGUAAAGCCCUUUUAGUGGAGAAGAUAAUGACGGUAUCCACAGAAAAAGCACCGGCAAACUUCGUGCCAGCAGCCGCGGUAAUACGAAGGGUGCUAGCGUUGUUCGGAAUCAUUGGGCGUAAAGCGUACGUAGGCGGUUUAGUAAGUCGAUUGUGAAAGCCCCGGGCUCAACUCGGGAACUGCAAUCGAUACUGCUUUACUGGAAUUUGGUCGGGGAUAGCGGAAUUCCUAGUGUAGGGGUGAAAUCCGUAGAUAUUAGGAGGAAUAUCGGUGGCGAAAGCGGCUAUCUAGGCCAAUAUUGACGCUAAGGUACGAAAGCGUGGGGAGCAAA